GAGGCAAGGGGUCGGAGUCGGCGGCCUCCGAUUGGCGGAGUCUUAGCCCUCCUCGGUGCGCGCUGGGAUUGGCCGGACCGUUAGGCCAGGCGAGGAAAUGGCGGCCGAGCGCGGCGAACGGGGAGGUGUCGAGGCGCGCACUUCAUUUGUUACUGCGCGGAUUGAGCUCGGAGUCCGGAGAGGAGAGGAGGGGGUGGGGCCGACUCUGUGACGUCGGGGCCAAGAGCGCUCUCAUUGGCUGAAGUUGAUGGAGUCAAUCAAGCUCAGUUGCGUCGUACUGGCAUGGGAUUGGCUGUCGCUGCUUCACCGUCGACCCCCGGUCCCGCACGGAAGCCCUAAGUGACGUCAGUCUUCAGUUCCCAUGGUAACCCGGAACCGGGGAGAGGGGGUGGGGCCGGCGCGCGCCCCUAGAGCGGAUCCGUUGACGCCGCAGGUGGCCCAGUGUUUCGUUAGUUCGAAUCCUGGGCGCGGACAUGGCACUGCUCAUCAGACCACGCUGAGGCAGCGUCCCACAUGCCACAACUACUAGAA
RNAcentral lists this long non-coding RNA (531 nucleotides) under Equus asinus (donkey). RNAcentral describes it as "lncRNA (ENSEASG00005033862.1)". The record is from RNAcentral. Lineage: Eukaryota; Metazoa; Chordata; Mammalia; Perissodactyla; Equidae.